Molecule: ribosomal RNA, 443 nt
Filed under: uncultured bacterium
Lineage: Bacteria
Description: bacterial SSU rRNA
Rfam family: Bacterial small subunit ribosomal RNA
Source: RNAcentral
AACGCGAAGAACCUUACCUGGGCUCGAAGCGCAGUGGAAUCCGGUGGAAACAUCGGCGCCCCUUAAAAGGCUGCUGCGGAGGUGCUGCAUGGCUGUCGUCAGCUCGUGUCGUGAGAUGUUGGGUUAAGUCCCGCAACGAGCGCAACCCUUAUCGUUAGUUGCCAGCGGGUUAUGCCGGGCACUCUAGCGAAACCGCCCCGGAUAACGGGGAGGAAGGUGGGGAUGACGUCAAGUCCUCAUGGCCUUUAUGUCCAGGGCUGCACACAUGCUACAAUGGCCGGUACAACGGGCUGCUAUUCCGCGAGGAGGAGCUAAUCCCUAAAGCCGGUCUCAGUUCGGAUCGCAGUCUGCAACUCGACUGCGUGAAGUCGGAGUCGCUAGUAAUCCCGGAUCAGCAACGCCGGGGUGAAUACGUUCCCGGGCCUUGUACACACCGCUACAGU